UACUCCCGCCGGCGACCGGCGCACGGGUGAGUAACACGUAUGAAACCUGCCCGUAGCAGGGGGAUAAGCGGAAGAAAUUCCGUCUAAUACCGCGUAACAACCCGAGGAGGCAUCUCCUCGGGUUUAAAGGAAGCGAUUCCGGCUACGGAUGGUCAUGCGUCGUAUUAGCUAGUUGGCGGGGUAACGGCCCACCAAGGCGACGAUGCGUAGGGGUUCUGAGAGGAAGGUCCCCCACACUGGUACUGAGACACGGACCAGACUCCUACGGGAGGCAGCAG
Molecule: ribosomal RNA, 278 nt
Filed under: uncultured bacterium
Lineage: Bacteria
Description: partial 16S ribosomal RNA
Rfam family: Bacterial small subunit ribosomal RNA
Source: RNAcentral